Small nuclear RNA from Cricetulus griseus (Chinese hamster), 95 nucleotides. The record is from Ensembl. NCBI's taxonomy places the organism in Eukaryota, Metazoa, Chordata, Mammalia, Rodentia, Cricetidae.
GUGCUCACUUAGGAGGCACAUAUACUAAAAUUUGAAAAAUACAAAGAAUAUUAGCUCAAGGAUGACACACAAUUUGUGAAGUGUUCCAUAUUUUU